RNAcentral lists this ribosomal RNA (484 nucleotides) under uncultured bacterium. RNAcentral's name for it is "partial 16S ribosomal RNA". It matches the Rfam family "Bacterial small subunit ribosomal RNA", at positions 30 to 507 of the family's 1533-position model. The record is from RNAcentral.
AUUGAACGCUGGCGGCAGGCCUAACACAUGCGAGUCGAGCGGAUGAAGGGAGCUUGCUCCUGGAUUCAGCGGCGGACGGGUGAGUAAUGCCUAGGAAUCUGCCUGGUAGUGGGGGAUAACGUCCGGAAACGGGCGCUAAUACCGCAUACGUCCUGAGGGAGAAAGUGGGGGAUCUUCGGACCUCACGCUAUCAGAUGAGCCUAGGUCGGAUUAGCUAGUUGGUGGGAUAAAGGCCUACCAAGGCGACGAUCCGUAACUGGUCUGAGAGGAUGAUCAGUCACACUGGAACUGAGACACGGUCCAGACUCCUACGGGAGGCAGCAGUGGGGAAUAUUGGACAAUGGGCGAAAGCCUGAUCCAGCCAUGCCGCGUGUGUGAAGAAGGUCUUCGGAUUGUAAAGCACUUUAAGUUGGGAGGAAGGGCAGUAAGUUAAUACCUUGCUGUUUUGACGUUACCAACAGAAUAAGCACCGGCUAACUUCGUG